CAGCAGCCACGGUAAUACAGAGGGUGCAAGCGUUAAUCGGAAUUACUGGGCGUAAAGCGCGCGUAGGUGGUUUGUUAAGUUGGAUGUGAAAUCCCCGGGCUCAACCUGGGAACUGCAUCCAAAACUGGCAAGCUAGAGUAUGGUAGAGGGUGGUGGAAUUUCCUGUGUAGCGGUGAAAUGCGUAGAUAUAGGAAGGAACACCAGUGGCGAAGGCGACCACCUGGACUGAUACUGACACUGAGGUGCGAAAGCGUGGGGAGCAAACAGGAGUAGAGACCCCCGUAGUCCCUGUCUCUUAUAA
Molecule: ribosomal RNA, 301 nt
Filed under: uncultured bacterium
Lineage: Bacteria
Description: partial 16S ribosomal RNA
Rfam family: Bacterial small subunit ribosomal RNA
Source: RNAcentral